RNAcentral lists this ribosomal RNA (253 nucleotides) under uncultured bacterium. Its description in RNAcentral is "partial 16S ribosomal RNA". It matches the Rfam family "Bacterial small subunit ribosomal RNA", at positions 524 to 776 of the family's 1533-position model. The record is from RNAcentral.
UACGUAGGGUGCGAGCGUUGUCCGGAAUUACUGGGCGUAAAGAGCUCGUAGGUGGUUUGUCGCGUUGUUCGUGAAAUCCCACGGCUUAACUGUGGGCGUGCGGGCGAUACGGGCAGACUGGAGUACUGCAGGGGAGACUGGAAUUCCUGGUGUAGCGGUGGAAUGCGCAGAUAUCAGGAGGAACACCGGUGGCGAAGGCGGGUCUCUGGGCAGUAACUGACGCUGAGGAGCGAAAGUGUGGGGAGCGAACAGG